UCGCCUACGGGAGGCUGCAGUGGGGAAUCUUGCGCAAUGGGCGAAAGCCUGACGCAGCAACGCCGCGUGCGGGAAGAAGGCCUUUGGGUUGUAAACCGCUUUCAGCAGGGACGAAACUGACGGUACCUGCAGAAGAAGGUCCGGCUAACUACGUGCCAGCAGCCGCGGUAAUACGUAGGGACCAAGCGUUGUCCGGAUUUAUUGGGCGUAAAGAGCUCGUAGGCGGUUCUGUAAGUCGAGUGUGAAAAAUCUGGGCUCAACCCAGUCGAGCACUCGAUACUGCAGUGACUGGAGUCCGGUAGGGGAGUGUGGAAUUCCUGGUGUAGCGGUGAAAUGCGCAGAUAUCAGGAGGAACACCAACAGCGAAGGCAGCACUCUGGGCCGGUACUGACGCUGAGGAGCGAAAGCGUGGGGAGCGAACAGGAUUAGAUACCCCGGUAGUCA
This 444-nucleotide ribosomal RNA is filed under the name uncultured Acidimicrobiales bacterium. Its description in RNAcentral is "bacterial SSU rRNA". It matches the Rfam family "Bacterial small subunit ribosomal RNA", at positions 335 to 796 of the family's 1533-position model. Lineage: Bacteria; Bacillati; Actinomycetota; Acidimicrobiia; Acidimicrobiales. The record is from RNAcentral.